UGUAUAUUCCCCUCCAAAGGAGAAUUCAGCUAGGUGUUUAAAUUGUACUUGUUUUGUUUUUGAAAUAAAUUGAUAGACUGUCCUGGCAUUAGGUAGACAAAGCAUAAAUUCUGUUUGCAAUCAGCUCUAAAUAUUCCUGAACUUACAUAUCUUUGCUUCCUGUGCUUUACUACUUUGUUCCCUCAUUCAAUUAUGAGUCUGGGUGACCUUGGUACUUUCUCUGUUUAUUAUACAGGAACUUUCUCAAGACUACAGAGAAUAAAAUCCUCAAGCCAAAUUUUUUUAUUUGGCAUGAAACCUUCUCCCCUACUUCCUUUUGCAAGCUAACCUCAAUAUUGUAGGUGACACCUGGCUGCGGCAAAAUUGCUUCCUUUUUCUCUUGAUCCCAGGCUAUUGGUGUCCAUGUAUGAAAGGUGUGUGGCAGCGGCAGGAGAGGAGAGGGAGCUGGUAGGGAUGGAGCCCUCGUGUGUGGAGAAGAGAAACAAGAUUAACCUCAUUCCUAGAGAGUAUGUGUGCCUCUUCACCACAAAAAGAAAAAUCAGUUCAUUGAUUAGUAUCCUAGGGCAUCUUUUGUGGCUCUUGGAAGACUGCUGUUGAUUGACACGGGCUUCGAGAAUGCCCACAGCUGCUUCAGCCCUAACUCCUCCCUAGAUAUUCAGCUUCAGGCAACACCCAGCCAAAGAGCUCUGGGGACCAACGGGGAUGCCAAACAUAAGAAAAUCAUCACACACAUUUCUAUUUUUAAACUAGAAGCAAAAUGGUUAGUAGAGGUGAAUUUUUUGUGAAAUCUCAAAUGGUCAUUUUUUUUCAUCUGCAUGACUUUGUAGAACUAAAAAAAAAUCAAUGACUCUACAAUAUUGGUAGAAUUGAAUAUAAGGUCUUGCAAUAAAGUUAAAUGUAUGGCCCAAAUAAACAUAUUUCUUUAUAAUUGGCUUUUAAUCCUAUUUGCAUACAGUCCUCUGUGAAGCUUAAUACAGUUUAUACAACUUUGUCAAUUAUACUUUUGUCAAUUGAAGCGGAAAAAAGUGAAAUCAUCUGUGAAGAUUGUUAAAGCUUAGAUGCUUCAGUUUUGUGCAUCUCUGCCACUUUGGGCGAGUCACCUAACCUCUCUGUGCCUCAGUUACUGCAUCUGUGAAACGGGGGUAAUAUCUGCAUCUUCUUGAUAGGAAUGCUCUGCGGAUUAAAUGGGUUAGUGUAUGUAAAGCCCUCAGGACAGUGCCCAGCACAUAGAAAACAUGCCCUCAUAUAGUAUUUGCUACUGUUAUUCUAUGUAUGGUCACUUGGAUCUAUGUUUUGCAGAAUUCUGGUCUGACUCUCAAUAUGAGUUUAUUCAUGGAGGAAGCUCAGUUUACCGAUCUGGUAUUGUGAAUAUGGGGCUAAGUGGGGAGAAACGGUGUACAUAUUGCACCUGUUAGGACAGUACUCCUAUUAGUCAUGUGUAGGGGCAUUCAUGAAAGAAGGGGAAGGUAAAUGCAUGCAGAAGUCAUAUACUGGAACUGGAGGCAGGUACCAGCACCCUAAUGCUUCUAGAAUGAGAUUUUGCCUUGGUGUUUCCCCAAGGUCUUCCACAGUCUACCAAAAUGUGUUUAUUUUUCUAAAAUGAAAAUGAUAUGUUUAUGGGGCACCUGGGUGGCUCAGAUGGUUAAGCAUCUACCUUCAGCUCAGGUCAUGAUCUCAGGGUCCUGGGAUGGAGCCCCGAGUCAGGCUCCCUGCUCAAUGAGGAGUCUACUUCUUCCUCUUCCUCUGCCCCUUCCCCUGCUUGUGGUCUCUCCCUCUCUCAAGUAAAUAAAUAAAAUUCUAAAAAAAGAAAAUAGGUACGUUUGUACAACCAGAAUCCCAUUCUAUAUAUGUUUCAGCUUAAAGCAUAGAUCCCAAAUUUUAAAAUAUGGUAACAAAACAUGGAAUCAGUCUUGGAUACAGUCAAGAAAGUUUGGCAACAAACGUUUGGCAGAAAGAACAAAAUUUGUACAACUGUAGAAAGGACCUGAAAUUAUGGCCUGAGGUGCAUACGUGUUCUGUGGUAGGAUUUGUUUGUUAUCAUUAAGAAUUCUUAUGCACUGUGACAAAUGAUCAGUCACCUGUCAGCUCCCAAUCUAAGCGUGCGUCCCCUGAUUUGUAGUAAGCAUGAUGCU
Molecule: long non-coding RNA, 2132 nt
Filed under: Canis lupus familiaris (dog)
Lineage: Eukaryota; Metazoa; Chordata; Mammalia; Carnivora; Canidae
Description: lncRNA (ENSCAFG00000058274.1)
Source: RNAcentral